UCAGACGAUGCGUCAUGCAUAUCAUAAGCGGAGGAAAAGAAACUAACAAGGAUUCCCUUAGUAACGGCGAGUGAAGCGGGAAGAGCUCAAAUUUGAAAUCUUAAAGGGGUUUCCCUUUACGAAUUGUAGUUUAAAGAAGUGUUUUCUGUUAGAGUUUCGGUAAAAGUUCUUUGGAAUAGGACAUCAUAGAGGGUGAGAAUCCCGUAUUUGACCAUUAUUUUCAGCUGUGUGAUACACUUUCAAAGAGUCGGAUUGUUUGGGAAUGCAGUCCAAAAUGGGUGGUAAAUUUCAUCUAAAGCUAAAUAUUGGCGAGAGACCGAUAGCGAACAAGUACCGUGAGGGAAAGAUGAAAAGAACUUUGAAAAGAGAGUUAAACAGUACGUGAAAUUGUCAAAAGGGAAGCGUUUGACACCAGUGUUGUUUUCUCGAAAAUCAAUUAAAAAGAGUUAGAUUUUGUUGUGUAUUGACCUUAACAGCUUGCAUUUCGAUUUUCUUGCUUUUUUUAAUGCACUUUUCGUUUAACAAGUCAACAUCAGUUUCUUUUGUUGUAAAAAGGUCAUUGGAAGGUGGCUUUCUUUUCGGAGAAAGUGUUUAUAGCCUUUGACUCCUGCAAUCGGAGAGACUGAGGUCUGCAGCGUAGAUCCUUCGGGGUUAGAUACAUUUGUGCUAAGUUAUAGCUUUUUAUAGACAACUUGUUGACUAUGAUUAGUCUUGUAGCUUACUCGCUUAUGCUAUUUUACCUACGCUUAGGAUGUUGAGUCGUAGAGCACGCAG
This 774-nucleotide ribosomal RNA is filed under the name uncultured Neocallimastigales. RNAcentral describes it as "partial large subunit ribosomal RNA". It matches the Rfam family "Eukaryotic large subunit ribosomal RNA", at positions 18 to 626 of the family's 3401-position model. The record is from RNAcentral. Lineage: Eukaryota; Fungi; Neocallimastigomycota; Neocallimastigomycetes; Neocallimastigales.